Molecule: ribosomal RNA, 1434 nt
Filed under: uncultured organism
Description: SSU rRNA
Rfam family: Bacterial small subunit ribosomal RNA
Source: RNAcentral
CGCUAGCUACAGGCUUAACACAUGCAAGUCGAGGGGCAGCAUGGUCUUAGCUUGCUAAGGCCGAUGGCGACCGGCGCACGGGUGAGUAACACGUAUCCAACCUGCCGUCUACUCUUGGACAGCCUUCUGAAAGGAAGAUUAAUACAAGAUGGCAUCAUGAGUCCGCAUGUUCACAUGAUUAAAGGUAUUCCGGUAGACGAUGGGGAUGCGUUCCAUUAGAUAGUAGGCGGGGUAACGGCCCACCUAGUCUUCGAUGGAUAGGGGUUCUGAGAGGAAGGUCCCCCACAUUGGAACUGAGACACGGUCCAAACUCCUACGGGAGGCAGCAGUGAGGAAUAUUGGUCAAUAGGCGAGAGCCUGAACCGGCCAAGUAGCGUGAAGGAUGACUGCCCUAUGGGUUGUAAACUUCUUUUAUAAAGGAAUAAAGUCGGGUAUGGAUACCCGUUUGCAUGUACUUUAUGAAUAAGGAUCGGCUAACUCCGUGCCAGCAGCCGCGGUAAUACGGAGGAUCCGAGCGUUAUCCGGAUUUAUUGGGUUUAAAGGGAGCGUAGAUGGAUGUUUAAGUCAGUUGUGAAAGUUUGCGGCUCAACCGUAAAAUUGCAGUUGAUACUGGAUAUCUUGAGUGCAGUUGAGGCAGGCGGAAUUCGUGGUGUAGCGGUGAAAUGCUUAGAUAUCACGAAGAACUCCGAUUGCGAAGGCAGCCUGCUAAGCUGCAACUGACAUUGAGGCUCGAAAGUGUGGGUAUCAAACAGGAUUAGAUACCCUGGUAGUCCACACGGUAAACGAUGAAUACUCGCUGUUUGCGAUAUACAGCAAGCGGCCAAGCGAAAGCGUUAAGUAUUCCACCUGGGGAGUACGCCGGCAACGGUGAAACUCAAAGGAAUUGACGGGGGCCCGCACAAGCGGAGGAACAUGUGGUUUAAUUCGAUGAUACGCGAGGAACCUUACCCGGGCUUAAAUUGCAGAUGAAUUACGGUGAAAGCCGUAAGCCGCAAGGCAUCUGUGAAGGUGCUGCAUGGUUGUCGUCAGCUCGUGCCGUGAGGUGUCGGCUUAAGUGCCAUAACGAGCGCAACCCUUGUUGUCAGUUACUAACAGGUUCUGCUGAGGACUCUGACAAGACUGCCAUCGUAAGAUGUGAGGAAGGUGGGGAUGACGUCAAAUCAGCACGGCCCUUACGUCCGGGGCUACACACGUGUUACAAUGGGGGGUACAGAGGGCCGCUACCACGCGAGUGGAUGCCAAUCCCCAAAACCUCUCUCAGUUCGGACUGGAGUCUGCAACCCGACUCCACGAAGCUGGAUUCGCUAGUAAUCGCGCAUCAGCCACGGCGCGGUGAAUACGUUCCCGGGCCUUGUACACACCGCCCGUCAAGCCAUGGGAGCCGGGGGUACCUAAAGUGCGUAACCGCGAGGAGCGCCCUAGGGUAAAACUGGU